UGCUGUGAGCUCGAUGAGUAGGGCGGGACACGUGGUAUCCUGUCUGAAUAUGGGGGGACCAUCCUCCAAGGCUAAAUACUCCUGACUGACCGAUAGUGAACCAGUACCGUGAGGGAAAGGCGAAAAGAACCCCGGCGAGGGGAGUGAAAAAGAACCUGAAACCGUGUACGUACAAGCAGUGGGAGCCCCACCACUAAGCCAGUGGUGAACUCCACAUACGCAUCCUUUGCUGAAGGCAAUGGUUAACGGAGCGAAAGCGACGUUUAACCUCAAAAGAAGCAGAGGGGGCUUAGUGGUGGGGUGACUGCGUACCUUUUGUAUAAUGGGUCAGCGACUUAUAUUCUGUAGCAAGGUUAACCGAAUAGGGGAGCCGGAGGGAAACCGAGUCUUAAUUGGGCGUUAAGUUGCAGGGUAUAGACCCGAAACCCGGUGAUCUAGCCAUGGGCAGGUUGAAGGUUGGGUAACACUAACUGGAGGACCGAACCGACUAAUGUUGAAAAAUUAGCGGAUGACCUGUGGCUGGGGGUGAAAGGCCAAUCAAACCGGGAGAUAGCUGGUUCUCCCCGAAAGCUAUUUAGGUAGCGCCUCGUGAAUUCAUCUCCGGGGGUAGAGCACUGUUUCGGCUAGGGGGCCAUCCCGGCUUACCAACCCGAUGCAAACUGCGAAUACCGGAGAAUGUUAUCACGGGAGACACACGGCGGGUGCUAACGUCCGUCGUGAAGAGGGAAACAACCCAGACCGCCAGCUAAGGUCCCAAAGUCAUGGUUAAGUGGGAAACGAUGUGGGAAGGCCCAGACAGCCAGGAUGUUGGCUUAGAAGCAGCCAUCAUUUAAAGAAAGCGUAAUAGCUCACUGGUCGAGUCGGCCUGCGCGGAAGAUGUAACGGGGCUAAACCAUGCACCGAAGCUGCGGCAGCGACGCUUAUGCGUUGUUGGGUAGGGGAGCGUUCUGUAAGCCUGUGAAGGUGGCCUGUGAGGGUUGCUGGAGGUAUCAGAAGUGCGAAUGCUGACAUAAGUAACGAUAAAGCGGGUGAAAAGCCCGCUCGCCGGAAGACCAAGGGUUCCUGUCCAACGUUAAUCGGGGCAGGGUGAGUCGACCCCUAAGGCGAGGCCGAAAGGCGUAGUCGAUGGGAAACGGGUUAAUAUUCCCGUACUUGGUGUUACUGCGAAGGGGGGACGGAGAAGGCUAUGUUGGCCGGGCGACGGUUGUCCCGGUUUAAGCGUGUAGGUGUGUGUUCCAGGUAAAUCCGGUUCACUUUAACACUGAGGCGUGACGACGAGGCACUACGGUGCUGAAGCAACAAAUGCCCUGCUUCCAGGAAAAGCCUCUAAGCAUCAGGUAACAUCAAAUCGUACCCCAAACCGACACAGGUGGUCAGGUAGAGAAUACCAAGGCGCUUGAGAGAACUCGGGUGAAGGAACUAGGCAAAAUGGUGCCGUAACUUCGGGAGAAGGCACGCUGACAC
Molecule: ribosomal RNA, 1464 nt
Filed under: Salmonella enterica subsp. enterica serovar Mikawasima
Lineage: Bacteria; Pseudomonadati; Pseudomonadota; Gammaproteobacteria; Enterobacterales; Enterobacteriaceae
Description: partial 23S ribosomal RNA
Rfam family: Bacterial large subunit ribosomal RNA
Source: RNAcentral